This 200-nucleotide ribosomal RNA is filed under the name uncultured bacterium. Its description in RNAcentral is "partial 16S ribosomal RNA". It matches the Rfam family "Bacterial small subunit ribosomal RNA", at positions 1300 to 1500 of the family's 1533-position model. The record is from RNAcentral.
GAAGGCUGAAAUUCGCCUUCAUGAAGCUGGAAUUGCUAGUAAUGGCAGGUCAGCAUACUGCCGUGAAUACGUUCCCGGGCCUUGUACACACCGCCCGUCACACCAUGAGAGUUGGAAAUACCCGAAGCCUGUGAGCUAACUUAAAGAGGCAGCAGUCGAAGGUAGAGCCAAUGAUUGGGGUGAAGUCGUAACAAGGUACC